This 262-nucleotide long non-coding RNA is filed under the name Elaeis guineensis (African oil palm). RNAcentral's name for it is "long non-coding RNA (EGUI_LNC012899)". The record is from RNAcentral. Lineage: Eukaryota; Viridiplantae; Streptophyta; Magnoliopsida; Arecales; Arecaceae.
GAGGCGUCAAAUCCUAACAGAAAGGUUCCCAUUUUUUAUCACUUACCCAUGUGGGCCUGCUCCGAAAACUCCUUGGAAGUGUGGGUGGAGACUUCAGGAUGUCAAUGGUUGCUGGUAUUCAUAGUCUAGGAAGGAAAAGAGAAAGCAAUGAGCAGCAUAGUAGUCUGUCUUCCAAUUGCAGCCAGCUGGUCUAUCUUGCAAUUGGAAUUUUAGGUGGUGGUGGUGGAAACAUAGGAACCAGACUAACCGAGUCAACAAGGGA